AACGAACGCUGGCGGCAUGCCUAACACAUGCAAGUCGAACGAGACCUUCGGGUCUAGUGGCGCACGGGUGCGUAACGCGUGGGAAUCUACCCUCAGGUUCGGAAUAACUCAGAGAAAUUUGAGCUAUUACCGGAUGAUGACGUAAGUCCAAAGAUUUAUCGCCUGAGGAUGAGCCCGCUUAGGAUUAGGUAGUUGGUGAGGUAAAGGCUCACCAAGCCGACGAUCCUUAGCUGGUCUGAGAGGAUGAUCAGCCACACUGGGACUGAGACACGGCCCAGACUCCUACGGGAGGCAGCGGUGGGGAAUAUUGGACAAUGGGCGAAAGCCUGAUCCAGCAAUGCCGCGUGAGUGAUGAAGGCCUUAGGGUUGUAAAGCUCUUUUACCCGGGAUGAUAAUGACAGUACCGGGAGAAUAAGCUCCGGCUAACUCCGUG
This 433-nucleotide ribosomal RNA is filed under the name uncultured bacterium. RNAcentral describes it as "partial 16S ribosomal RNA". It matches the Rfam family "Bacterial small subunit ribosomal RNA", at positions 29 to 507 of the family's 1533-position model. The record is from RNAcentral.